AUGGAGAGGACCACCGCAGACCCAAGAUCGGUGCGCCGCCACCUCUCCUCUCCCGGCGUCGCCCUCCCCGAGGAUCUGAUCGUGGGGGAGAUCCUCGUCCGGCUUCCGGCCAAGUCGCUCUUCCGGUUCCGUGCGGCCUGCCGCUCCUGGUGCAACCGCACCUCCACGCACCAGUUCAUCUCCUCCUUCGGCCGCAAGCUUCCUCUCGUCGGUCUGUAUUCGAACCCCCUGAAAAGCUUACACGACAAAUCUGGCCUCGAGUGUGUGGAUGUUCUUGCCGCCGCCAACAACCUCAGAUCUGUCCUCACUUUUGAUUGCUACUCGAACUGGCUCUGCGCUUCCUUGGAUGGCCUCUUGUUGGUGUCCUACGGCAAUGGUCGCCACAUUAUCUGCAACCCUGCCACCCGGCAAUCGAUCCCGCUCCCUCAGCUCACCGGAGGAGUCGUUGCAGGCUUGUACUCGUCGCCCACCGCCGACAGGGGCGUGGAGUACCGUACUCUGUUUUCCAAGGGAAGACUCCCCAUAUGCAAUCCCAAGUACUACAUCCUCACCGUCGGCUCACCAAUGGAGCCCAGACCCGUCCAGCUGCCUGAGGAACCCGACAAUCUGAAGAUAGCGUUGCUCCACGGCAUCAACGAUCCCACUCCAAGCCUGUGCCAUCGGCCAACAGUUAUGCUCAACAGCUGUCUUCACUGGGUGCCAGAGUCAUGCCGUCAUGACAAAGUGGUUGUUUUCGAUACGGUGGCCGAGUCAUUCAGAUCCAUUCAAUCUCCGACUGCCGCCCAAGAAAAUACUCGCUUGUUUGAGAUGGGCAGUCAGCUUGGCUUCAGCUUGUACAAUGGCAGAAGUGAUACAGUGAGCAUUUGGUCCCUGCAUGAUUACAACAAUGAGAUCUGGGCGCUAAGGCAUUCCAUUAACUUGUCGAUGGUGGUCACAUCCUCGAUGAGAAGUUACAUGAUUCUCUCUGACAAAGGCGAUGUGCUAAUUUCCUGCAGAGGUUCUGGCCAGCUUAUUCACUGUGAUACUGAAGCAAAUGUACUGAACCAGUUAACAUGUGAACCAAGAGAUCCAAGCUUCACUGGACAUUGGUUCAAGGAGAACAUUUCGAGGCAUGAUUUCUUCCAGAGGAAAAAAGGGCAGCGCCUGAGGCAGCAGACACGCUUUCUCAAAGGCCUCUAA
Molecule: ribosomal RNA, 1179 nt
Filed under: Triticum aestivum (bread wheat)
Lineage: Eukaryota; Viridiplantae; Streptophyta; Magnoliopsida; Poales; Poaceae
Description: partial small subunit ribosomal RNA
Source: RNAcentral